RNAcentral lists this long non-coding RNA (401 nucleotides) under Trifolium pratense (red clover). RNAcentral's name for it is "long non-coding RNA (TPRA_LNC006716)". The record is from RNAcentral. Lineage: Eukaryota; Viridiplantae; Streptophyta; Magnoliopsida; Fabales; Fabaceae.
CUAAACUUGAGAGGACCGCGGAAACAUGAAACCCUAAAAUUCGUUUCCAUUUCUACAUAUAUCUCGUUCAAAUUGAACCUUGCAAGAGCUGCAGAAACAUAAAACCCUAAAAUUGAGGAACCGUUCAAAUAAAUUUUUUAGGGUUCCAGUAAUCAAGAUUCGCGGAGAAAGAAUCAGUUUCGUAAACAGAGAAGAAAUUUGCUCGAACGAAAGAUUCGUGGCAAUGCGAUAAUGAAUUUUUGGUAUAGUUAGCGACAAUGAAUUUUUGUUACUAGGGUUGAAUCGAUGAUGAAUUAGAAUGAAAUAGGAAGAUCGAAAACGAUGAAGAGAUGAGAAAAAUAGUUAUUAGCGAUAACAAAGAAACCAAAUCACAAAUCAAGAAUCAUGAUAGUGUGCGUAUG